RNAcentral lists this unclassified non-coding RNA (226 nucleotides) under Peromyscus maniculatus bairdii (prairie deer mouse). RNAcentral describes it as "partial maternally expressed gene 3". Lineage: Eukaryota; Metazoa; Chordata; Mammalia; Rodentia; Cricetidae. The record is from RNAcentral.
AGGAGGGACCCUUUCCAUCUUCNANAGUGGCCAGUGNCNUUCACCAUCUCCCGUUCCGUCCCUAAUGUUCAGCACACAUGAAUGCUGGAGCUGCCCUGGUCCCUCUCUUGCCACUGUCCUUCAUUUGAUGCUCACAACUCCCUGUCCUGAUCCGGGGCCGGCCUGCCNUCUCCCANGGAANCAGAGGUUGCCAAGUGGUUUCUCCGAAUGGGGCCCCCCNCCCCCA